Molecule: long non-coding RNA, 2921 nt
Filed under: Arabidopsis thaliana (thale cress)
Lineage: Eukaryota; Viridiplantae; Streptophyta; Magnoliopsida; Brassicales; Brassicaceae
Description: ncRNA (AT1G17232)
Source: RNAcentral
AGAUAAGCGAUUGUGGGAAGAAAGAAAACUGUGAUGUUUUACUCACCUGGAGCGAUGUAUCCGUAAGACCCAGCAACAGCUGACAUGGACUUUGAGUAAGAGAGAUCAAUCAACUUAGCCAGGCCAAAAUCUCCAACAUGAGCCUGGAACCGUUCAUCAAGAAGAAUGUUGUUCGAUUUUAUGUCGCGAUGGACUAUUUGAGGUCUGCAAUCAUGAUGGAGAUAACACAAACCCUCUGCAGCACCGAGGGCGAUUCUAUACCGAGCAUUCCAAUCCAACAAACAGUUUUUCUCACCUCGCUGUAGUUGUUCGCCGAGGCUUCCUUUUGACAUGUACUCAUACAAGAGAAGAUUUGAAUUCUGGUGAUAGCAGAAACCAUAUAGCUUCACAAUAUUCCGGUGCCUUAUCUUUCCAAGAGUUGAUAUCUCAGCUCUGAAACUAUUAUCAGAACUAGCUCCUUCACCGCGAGAAUUCAGCUUCUUUACAGCUAUCACCUCGCCACCUGACAUUUCAGCUUUGUAGACUGUUCCACACGCUCCUCUCCCUAAAACCACGUCUUCGGAAAAGUUUCUGGUUGCAUCCACGAGGCCUUGAUAUGUGAAACCUUUUUUAGGGAAAUAGUAGCUGUCCAUGACAUCUGGUUUUGUUUGAUCCUCAAGUGCAACAAACGCUGGUUCCCGCCGCUUUAUUGUCCAACAGAGACCAAGAAAAGUGAUAAGAAAAACCGACCCGAUUACAAUACAAGUGAUUGUCAAGAUCUUUUGCCUUUGCGAACCGUUGAUUAACCAAUUUAGCUUUGAAUCAGAAUGUGGGACAAGUGGUUGACAAUGGCUUCUCUGAGAGUUACACAAACCAUGGUUUCCAGCAAAGUUCGAUGAAUCCAUCCGCUGGAACACGGCUGUGUCUGGUACUGUUCCGACCAAGUUAUUGUUUGAGAUAUUGCAGAUGAGGAGGCUCAUGAGAUUCCCAAUUGAUGCAGGGAUCUCACCUGAAAGCUUGUUGUCGUUGAGAGAGGUUAACUUCCCGAGCUCCACUGGGAUGUUUUCAGACAAGAGAUUGCCUCCUAGUUGUAACUCCAUGAGCCGAGUAAGAUCUCCAAAGCUAUGAGGAAUUUCUCCGGUCAAUCUAUUAUCAGACAAUCUCAAAAUCUCCAAAUAUACCAACUGACCAAGCUCUUGUGCUAUGUAUCCGGAAAACUUGUUGCCACUAAGGUCAAGCCUCUGGAUAGUGACACAACUUCCCAACUCUUUAGGGAUGUGACCAGUGAGCUGAUUGGAGGAGAUGUUAAAGCCAACAAUCUUUGUGAGAUUCCCAAUCUCAGGAGGAAUUUCACCAGUAAAAUUGUUGUUAGCUAGACGCAGUCUUUCCAAAUUCUUCAGCUUUCCCAGGUCUGCAGAUAUAUUCCCUGAUAACCAGUUUUGGUGAAGCUCUAAUGCAGUAAGGUUCUGAAGAUUAAAUAAUUCAAUGGGAAGGCUUCCUGUUAGCUGGUUAUCGCCUAGCAUUAGCUUUGUCAGUGACUUGCAGGUUUUCAGAUCACGAGGGAUGUUUCCUGAUAACUUGUUUGAACCAAGACUCAGAAGUAUUAGCGUCUGAAAUCUGCAGAAGUGGGCAGGAAUUGGACCAGACAGAGAAUUGGCAGACAUGUCAAGAACAGAAAAAUUGCUAUAGAAACCGAUUAAAGGAGGUAUCUUCCCUUCAAGCUGGUUGUCAAAAAGCUGCAAAUCUACAAGGUAAGGUAGGAACUGAAGCUCUUGCGGGAUAGUACCGUUUAGUCUAUUGAUAGACAAGUCUAGCUUCUCCAACAGUGUCAAUUCCCCAAGCUCCCUAGGAAUUGGACCUAGAAGAAUGUUCUCAAAAAGAUGAAGUAAUUUGAGAUUCAGGAUAUGACCAAACUCUUUUGGUAUGAAACCUGUUAACUGAUUCUCCGAAAAAUCUAUCUCAGCUGCAUCUAUCAAGUUGCCUAUUUCGCGAGGUAUCUCUCCGGUUAACUGGUUUGUGUAAAGGUACAGCCUUUUCAUCUUUGUGAGCUUCCCAAUCUCUCUUGGAAUUGAUCCCGUGAAGUAGUUUUCAUGCAGCGCAAGCACCUCCAGUCUGCUGAUGUUUCCUACGGAAGGAGGUAUCUCACCAGAUAGACGGUUUUGCCAGAGUAUCAAAUCAGUAAGAUUUUGAAGCUUCUCGAGCUGCUUAGGAAGAGAACCCUCAAGAAGAUUCUCUGCUAAUCCAAGUACCUUUAGGCUCUCGCAUCCGCUGAUUUCAGACGGAAUCACACCCGAGAAUCCAUUCCGUCCUGCCCUAAUGAUCCGGAGCUGUCUCAAUUUCGCCAUGGAAGGAGGGAUUACACCGGUGAGAUUAUUGCUGUAGAUCACAAGCUCUUGGAGUGAACUCAAAUUACCGAUUUGUCUAGGGAUAGAACCGAAAAGAUAAUUCUCGCAUAGAUACAGCUUCUUAAGAGUGAUGAUCAUGGUUAGCUGAAUUGGUAUCACUCCAUGGAACCUAUUUGUGCAGAGAUCAAGAACCUCUAGACUUCGACAGAGAGAUAAAUCUUGAGGGAUUGGACCAGAGAUGAAGUUGGUGGAGACAUUCAAUUUCCUUAAACCAUGAAGCUUGCAUAUGAGAGGAGAUAGUGUACCUGAUAGAUUCAUCCCAUUUAGAUCAACAGAAGUUACAGUUCUGAGAUGGGUACACGCGAUUCCGGUCCAGUUGCAGGGAUUUGAAUCCAACUGAUUCCAGCUUGCGAGAUAGCCAUUGGAGUCAUUAAGGAAAGCUUUAAACUCCAGAAGAACACGCCCUUCUUCGUUUAAGGAUCUUACUAAGAUGAAGGAGAAAGAACAGAGAAUCACUAUUGCCAAGAAACAUAUCCUCCCUCUCAUUUUUACAAGUUAGCUUUGGUAAGAACACAGAGUGAUCGCUGAACACAUAUG